Molecule: ribosomal RNA, 253 nt
Filed under: uncultured bacterium
Lineage: Bacteria
Description: partial 16S ribosomal RNA
Rfam family: Bacterial small subunit ribosomal RNA
Source: RNAcentral
UACGGAGGGGGCUAGCGUUGUUCGGAAUUACUGGGCGUAAAGCGCGCGUAGGCGGCUUUGUAAGUUAGAGGUGAAAGCCCAGAGCUCAACUUUGGAAUAGCCUUUAAAACUGCAUCGCUUGAACACGGGAGAGGUGAGUGGAAUUCCGAGUGUAGAGGUGAAAUUCGUAGAUAUUCGGAAGAACACCAGUGGCGAAGGCGGCUCACUGGACCGUUGUUGACGCUGAGGUGCGAAAGCGUGGGGAGCAAACAGG